GGAAUAUUGGGCAAUGGACGAGAGUCUGACCCAGCCAUGCCGCGUGUAGGAAGAAGGCUUUCUGAGUUGUAAACUACUUUUGAUUGGGAACAAAAGAUCCAUGCGUGGAGCAUUGAGUGUACCAAUAGAAUAAGCACCGGCUAACUCCGUGCCAGCAGCCGCGGUAAUACGGAGGGUGCAAGCGUUGUCCGGAUUUAUUGGGUUUAAAGGGUGCGUAGGCGGCAGAUUAAGUCAGCGGUGAAAUUCCACAGCUCAACUGUGGAACUGCCAUUGAUACUGGUUUGCUUGAGUACAGAUGAGGUAGGCGGAAUUGACAGUGUAGCGGUGAAAUGCUUAGAUAUUGUCAAGAACACCUAUUGCGAAGGCAGCUUACUAAGCUGUAACUGACGCUGAGGCACGAAAGCGUGGGGAUCAAAC
This 417-nucleotide ribosomal RNA is filed under the name uncultured bacterium. RNAcentral's name for it is "bacterial SSU rRNA". It matches the Rfam family "Bacterial small subunit ribosomal RNA", at positions 358 to 773 of the family's 1533-position model. The record is from RNAcentral.